Molecule: ribosomal RNA, 61 nt
Filed under: Muribaculaceae bacterium S4
Lineage: Bacteria; Pseudomonadati; Bacteroidota; Bacteroidia; Bacteroidales; Muribaculaceae
Source: RNAcentral
GAGCAGGGCCUGGUUAGUACCUGGAUGGAAGACCGCCUGGGAAUCCCAGGUGCCGUAAGCU